AACUUAUCGUAUCCCACCGUCAAACUUCAAUAGUUUGUUGAAUUUAUAAUGUAUAGGACCUUAACUUAAUCAUAGUAAAAUGUUAAUGGUUAAUUUCUCCAUAAUAUUAACUUGGCGUCUCAGUUGAAACCACUGAACUUAAUUGAAUUUGGAGACAAAUCAAUGAAAUAAAAAAAAACAAAAAAAAAACAUUAUUUUAAAUACGGAGAUUGAAA
This 215-nucleotide long non-coding RNA is filed under the name Lathyrus oleraceus (garden pea). RNAcentral's name for it is "Pisum sativum (pea) long non-coding RNA (PSAT_LNC007923)". The record is from RNAcentral. Lineage: Eukaryota; Viridiplantae; Streptophyta; Magnoliopsida; Fabales; Fabaceae.